Molecule: long non-coding RNA, 2857 nt
Organism: Prinia subflava (tawny-flanked prinia)
Lineage: Eukaryota; Metazoa; Chordata; Aves; Passeriformes; Cisticolidae
Exons: 4
Source: RefSeq, a predicted model, not a curated record
GAAGGUUUCUGAACAAUCCUGUUUCUUCCAAAAUUGUACAAGGGCAAACUGUAAAGCUGUCUGUGCUUAAUAUUAUGAAUGCCAGUGGAGCCUAAAGAAUUUUCUGUUACCUUCAAGGGGAGUAACUGUUGAACUCAAACUGAGAGGGAGGCCAAGCCAGAGAGAUGCAGAGACAAAACCUCAUUUAAGGAAUGACUGACAAAGAAACUGAAGGAAAGUUGGGAACUUCUGUCAAAAGAUUCCUCUGUGAAAUAGGACCUUACCUGCUUACUGAGAAGGGACCUAGAUGAAAACCCAGUCUAGAUCUGCUGAAAGAAGUCAUUCUGCACUGCUAUACAGGUAUUUUGCCAGACAGAUCUUCUUGCAAUACCGUCAAGGCUACAGCUACCCAUGCCACAGCCCCCUGCAUUUCAGCCUCUGGGGAAAGCUGCAAAGCUCAGAGAACUCCCUGAAUGGACAUCAGCAGAGAGGAGCAGAAGGACAAAACACUUCACAUUUAGCUGCUGGUAACCCAGACUGAAGAGUAAUAUUUUCACUUAUGGAAAGGAAGAGGAAAGUGAGCACUACUUUCUGGGCAGACAUACAACUAACAAGCCAAAACCCUCUGCAAACACUUUUUCUUUUUUUUUAAAUUUUUUAAGAAAUCUCCUUUUGUUGAAGUAAACUAAAAAAAAAAUAUAAGUGAUGUUGGAAACUGGAGGAGGGAGGGAGGUCUGUUCAUCAUAAUUUUUACCCCAAUUCUGGAGGCAAAUAUUUUCCAAACUUUGUUAUUAAACUAAAUGGAUUUCUAUUUUCCUAAUAGCUAGCUAUGCUCAGUCAGAUUUCUGACCACAUGCCAAACAUACCUCAUGUACUGACAUGGGGUAUCACUAGAGAAAGAGUUGCAUGGCUCACCAGAACCAGCCCCUCCUGCUCCCACCAGGCCUCCCAGAAAUCCUGUCCCACCCAGUCAGGGUGCUGCUCUCCAUCCUCCCUGCUCAGCCCACUCUGCUCAUUCCUGCCUCCAGGAGGACCUGAUCGUUCUCUCACUCUCCCCACCCUCAUGUGGCCCAGUCCCCACAUUCCUUAAUUCUGCUGAUCCUUCAUAGGCAUUUACUUGUGUUUCCCAGAUUUCACUCCUCUGUACUAGUAGAGAAAGUGUUCUUACACACUUUUCCCCUUUUCAUUUCUAAGGGAAUAUCAGUGGUUAGAUGGAAGCCAGAAAUGUGAUUUAUAUGGUUAUUGUACCUGACUUUUCUUUAUAUACCACUACCAUUUCACUGUUUCAUAUAGUGAUAAAUUUUUCAUUCCACUGAAAAUUGUGAUGAUUGUUUUAUUUUAUUUUACUUUAUUUUGUUUUAUUUUAUUUUAUCAACAUAUAUGUGACGUCAAUUUUUAUGUCUGAUCAUUAGCUGUCAGAAUUUUUCAUUUGAGAAAUAUACUUCAUUUUUAAAAUCAUAUAAAAGAAUUAACAAUGAGGGGAACACUGAGAAGAACCUAUACAACAGUUCGGGCUCAAAAUAAAUAAGGCGGGUUACUAUGGUUUUCCACAAAUAACAUUUUGUGUAGUAUCCACUGGAGCAUGAGCUGAAAAGAUGCCUUCCCUCAAAGUAGCUGCUAUGCUUUCCUCUCAGUGAAUGGAGCAAAGAUCACCAGCUGCCAGAAUCAAGCUACUACACAGUAGAAAGUAAAUGCUUCAGCACAAAGACGUUACUUAUUUCGUUUAUAACCAGGCAUGUAGAAGUAAAGAUCGUCAGGAGUAGUUACCACGGAUUCACCAAGGAGGAAGCAUGCUUGACCAAUCCAAGAGCUUCCAUGAUGACUUGGAAGGAUGGGUCAGUGAGGGGAGAGCAGUGGAUGUUGUCUACCUUGACUUCAGCAAGGCUUUUGACUCUGUGUUACACAACAUCCUUGCAGACAAACUUAGGAAGUGUGGGUUAGAUGAACAGGCAGUGAAGAAGAUCAAGAACUGCCUGAAUGACAGAGCUCAGGGGAUUGAGAUCAAUGGAAUAGAAUGCAGUUGGAGGCCUGCAGCCCAUGGCGUUCCCCAGGGAUCUGUACUGGGUCCAGUUUUAUUCAACUUGUUUAGCAAUGACCUGGAUGAAGGGAUAGAGUGAGACUGGGGAGAGGGCUGAUCCCCCUGAAUGCCCUGCUGCCAUUCAGUGGGACCUUGAUAGGCUGGAGAAUUGGGCACAGGGAAACUCAAUGAGGUUUGACAAGGGCAAGUGUAGGGUCUCCCAUCUGGGGAGGAAUAACCCCGAGUACAGCUGGGGGCUGACCUGCUGGAGAGCAGCUCUGCUGAGAGGGACCUGGGGGUCUCGGUGGAUGACAAUCUCCUCAUCAGCCAGCAGCAGAAGGGCCAAUGAUAUCCUGGGUGCAUGAAGAGGAGUGUGGCCAGCAGGUCAAGGAAGGUGAUCCUGCCCCUCAGCCCUGGUGAGACCACACCUGGAGUGCUGUGUCCCAGUGUGGGCUCCUGAGUACACGACAAGGAGCUGCUGGAGAGGUCCAGCGAAAGCCACAAAGAUCAUGGAGGAGUCUGGAGUAUCUCUCUUAUGUGGAGAGCUUCCGGGAGCUGGGCUUGCUUAGUCUGUAGAAAACUGAGAAGGCAUCUCCUUAAUGCAUAUAGUAUCUCAAAAGCAGGUGCCAAGACAAUAGUGCCAUCGACAGGACAAAGAACAAAGGUCAUAAACUAAAACACAAGAGGUUAUGGCUCAACACAAACAACUUCUUUACACUGAGGGUGGCAGAGCACUGGAAAAGGCUGACCAGGGAUGUCAUGAAGUGUCCCUCUCUGGACACAUUCCAAAUCCACCUGGAUAUGUUCCUGUGUGACCUGCUCCAGGUGACCCUGCCUUGGCAGGGGAUUGGACUGGGUGAA